AGCAGCACGCCGCGGUAAUACGUAGGGUGCAAGCGUUAAUCGGAAUUACUGGGCGUAAAGCGUGCGCAGGCGGUUAUAUAAGACAGAUGUGAAAUCCCCGGGCUCAACCUGGGAACUGCAUUUGUGACUGUAUAGCUAGAGUACGGCAGAGGGGGAUGGAAUUCCGCGUGUAGCAGUGAAAUGCGUAGAUAUGCGGAGGAACACCGAUGGCGAAGGCAAUCCCCUGGGCCUGUACUGACGCUCAUGCACGAAAGCGUGGGGAGCAAACAGGAUUAGAUACCCCCGUAGUCCCUGUCUCUUAUA
RNAcentral lists this ribosomal RNA (303 nucleotides) under uncultured bacterium. RNAcentral describes it as "partial 16S ribosomal RNA". It matches the Rfam family "Bacterial small subunit ribosomal RNA", at positions 507 to 808 of the family's 1533-position model. The record is from RNAcentral.